UACGAGUAAUCCGAAAAUCGAUAAGAGUAGGAA
RNAcentral lists this non-coding RNA (33 nucleotides) under unclassified sequences. RNAcentral describes it as "DUF805b RNA". It matches the Rfam family "DUF805b RNA". From Rfam's summary of the family: Bacteroidetes, Chlorobi (1 example), Proteobacteria. The record is from RNAcentral.